This 77-nucleotide transfer RNA is filed under the name Desulfobacterales bacterium SG8_35_2. RNAcentral describes it as "tRNA-Arg". It matches the Rfam family "tRNA". From Rfam's summary of the family: Transfer RNA (tRNA) molecules are approximately 80 nucleotides in length. Their secondary structure includes four short double-helical elements and three loops (D, anti-codon, and T loops). RNAcentral also lists the same sequence under 6 other names. Lineage: Bacteria; Pseudomonadati; Thermodesulfobacteriota; Desulfobacteria; Desulfobacterales. The record is from RNAcentral.
GCGCCCGUAGCUCAGCCGGAUAGAGCGCCGGACUUCGAAUCCGUAGGCCGCAGGUUCGAAUCCUGCCGGGCGCGCCA